GCGGAUUGUGAAUAAAAAAAAGCUGCAGUAUAUAUACACCAAGAAGAGCAACUCAAAGUGAAUGGGAGAGAGAGGCAAGCUAGGCGCAGCAGCUAAGUAGCAGUAGGAAGGGAAGGCACCGAGAAAUAGUGCUUCGCCUCCAGCAUGGCGCGCUCAUUCUUGCACGCCUUGUCAACGCAUUCCACCUCCUUAGCGCCGAGAUUUUCUUCCUCAGUUUGAGGCCCGGGCAUAGUGAAGAUAAGAGGUAGAAGGGGAGAUAGAUGCGCUGUGGUGUGCUGGGGAUCGAAGUUGCGGUAACCAGCAGCUAGGAUGCGGUAGUUGCCGUCAAGGCCCGGGCAUAGUGAAGAUAAGAGGUAGAAGGGGAGA
This 366-nucleotide long non-coding RNA is filed under the name Setaria italica (foxtail millet). RNAcentral describes it as "long non-coding RNA (SITA_LNC000993)". The record is from RNAcentral. Lineage: Eukaryota; Viridiplantae; Streptophyta; Magnoliopsida; Poales; Poaceae.